RNAcentral lists this ribosomal RNA (262 nucleotides) under uncultured bacterium. RNAcentral's name for it is "partial 16S ribosomal RNA". It matches the Rfam family "Bacterial small subunit ribosomal RNA", at positions 67 to 334 of the family's 1533-position model. The record is from RNAcentral.
CGGCACCUAUCUUCGGAUAGAAGCGAGUGGCGAACGGCUGAGUAACACGUGGAGAACCUGCCCCCUCCCCGGGAUAGCCGCCCGAAAGGACGGGUAAUACCGGAUACCCCGGGGUGCCGCAUGGCACCCCGGCUAAAGCCCGACGGGAGGGGAUGGCUCCGCGGCCCAUCAGGUAGACGGCGGGGUGACGGCCCACCGUGCCGACAACGGGUAGCCGGGUUGAGAGACCGACCGGCCAGAUUGGGACUGAGACACGGCCCAG